RNAcentral lists this unclassified non-coding RNA (146 nucleotides) under uncultured Ascomycota. Its description in RNAcentral is "sequence contains ITS2". The record is from RNAcentral. Lineage: Eukaryota; Fungi; Ascomycota.
CACCCCUCAAGUCAAACUUUUUGGUUAACUUGGUGUUGGGCCUUGCCGGAAGGCAUGCCUAAAAAUUAGCGAUGGUACGUUAAACCACGGACGCACAAAUGUCGUUACGUAGGGGCACGGCACCAGUCUAAUGAUUAAUUUCUCAA